GUAAGUUCGCGCAAAGACAAGUGUGUUAGUUUAGCAUUUGAACCUUGCCGUCUUACAG
RNAcentral lists this microRNA precursor (58 nucleotides) under Panagrellus redivivus. Its description in RNAcentral is "microRNA prd-mir-7947 precursor". The record is from miRBase by way of RNAcentral. Lineage: Eukaryota; Metazoa; Nematoda; Chromadorea; Rhabditida; Panagrolaimidae.